This 614-nucleotide ribosomal RNA is filed under the name Xylariales sp. JP145. RNAcentral describes it as "partial 18S ribosomal RNA". The record is from RNAcentral. Lineage: Eukaryota; Fungi; Ascomycota; Sordariomycetes; Xylariales.
AUUACAGGGUAACCGACUAGCGAGCUAUAGGCACCACCGCGUCGACUACAGAGAGUCGACUCACUAUUCAGGGCAGAGACUGCGUGUAGUAACAGCUGCGUUAACCCCUGGUGGUGCCCUUCCGUCAAUUUCUUUAAGUUUCAGCCUUGCGACCAUACUCCCCCCAGAACCCAAAAACUUUGAUUUCUCGUAAGGUGCCGAACGAGUCAAAAAAUAACAUCGUCCGAUCCCUAGUCGGCAUAGUUUAUGGUUAAGACUACGACGGUAUCUGCGUUUUACAGCACUGUAUUUCAGCGCCUGUCGUCACCUUUUCAGGCGCGGGUCGACUAAAAAUAAAGAACUCGGGCGUUCCCACCGACGUUUAGUCUGUGAACUGCACCCCCGCCUGCGGGGUAACUACCCCGCUAUAGGGUAGCUACCGGGUAGGCUUCUCGGGCUUGGCUGCGGAUGGUCCAAUCCCCUACACCUGGUUACGACCUACCGUCUAUUUCUUAAGCGGCAGGGUGUGGUAGGGGCUCUAAGGAGGUACCCGCAAUUUUGAUUUCUCGCCCGCUGUACCCCAGCUACAGCGGACUAGCUAGGCCGAUCCCUAAUCGGCAUAGUUUAGAUUAAUC